Meriones unguiculatus (Mongolian gerbil) is the source of this 4842-nucleotide long non-coding RNA. RefSeq lists it as uncharacterized. Lineage: Eukaryota; Metazoa; Chordata; Mammalia; Rodentia; Muridae. The record is from RefSeq and is a predicted model, not a curated record. The transcript has 3 exons.
UCAAGGUAUGACUUUCUGCCAAGUCAGUGUGAAGUGGGUCUUUUAUACCAAGAAAAACACUGAGCUAAAAAUCACCAAGCCCCCUAUUUUUUCACAUGCCUCAGAGCAAAGCACAGCACCAGGUAAGAGAGACACUGCUGAGAAAGACACCUGUGGCUAUCCAGUCUGGCAAGAGAGCUCCCAUGCAGGAAGAGGCUAAAUUAAAAAUCAGGGCCUUGAAAGGCUAACAGCCUAGACCUCUGAUUACUACAAUUUAUUCUAACUCACAGCGGGGAUAAGAAUUGUAGUGCGUCAUGCCACCCAUUCUUACCUACACAUAAAACAGCUUUUCAGGUCUCUGGAGAUAUCCUAAUAUCCUGAGAGAAAUACUUACAUGAGUCAGCACAGUACAGAUAGAAAGCACGGGAGAGGCUGGAGAGCUGUUCAGCCCUUUCCCAGCAGGAAUCACGUGGUACGGGACCAACGCAGGCUCCGGAGGUUACAACAGUUCACUGCUUCCUGUUGGGCAACUAUUCCUUAGGCUUUGUUGAUAAACUGCAGUCUUGUGGGAGUUAUUUCCUCAGAGUGAGCACGCAGACUAUGCGGUCCAGAAGGGAGCAAGGCUGCACCUCAAACGGCAGCUGAACUUCGUAAUAUAUGUGGAAACUGGAAAAAUACGGUCCAAGCUGAGGAAUGCCUGGGGCCGCUGGAAGCUAAGAGAGGGGUGCAGCGCUUACUGUCUCCUCCAAGCUUCCAGGAGCCAGCCCUGCUCAGAACCAAACUUUGCAUCAUAGAAGGCUUAUGUACAAGACUACUCAACACAAAUUCUAGAAGCCAACAAUAAUUGGCAUCAUUAGAGAGAAGAACAACACAGAAGCUUUCAAAACAAUGGCAUCUGAAUGACUGGCUCAAGAGGAAUUCAAGAUUCAAUGGUGUUUAUGAACCUUCCCCUCCUCCAGGGAAAAGAGAAGAAAAAAACAGACAAGACUGGCCACCUGACCACAGAGGUGACCAAACCCUGCGAUGACUGACUGGCUGCUUCUGUUUUCCCUCCCUAUAAAAUCUGCUGACUAAAGAUGAGAUGGGAGAUAGGGCUUUAGGACAGGAGGCCAUUAUCUUCUCAUAUUCCUGGCUCUCUGUGUAGAAUACUGCUAAAAGGUUCGAUUUCUGGUUUGUGCGUGUGAUGGGCAGAUUGUGCUACCACGUACAGGCCUACAGUGCUGACAGCAACUAUGAAUUUAGACGUCCUACGAGGAAUAGUACAAGUAACCACAAACUGUUGUGGACGUUUUGGUUUAUGACCUGUAAACAUGUUUUUGUUAACAUUCCAAGUUUCGGGGGAGGGCUUAGUUUGUCCACACCCAUUAAAUGUCUCGUGAGGAAUGUGGUCUUUGCCCAAUGGAAUUGGUUGAAUUCUGGGGUCUUUGAGGGGUAUAAUUAUGACAGCCCAGAGAAAGAAGGCGCCGCUGCUUGGAGGAGGAGUCCUUGCUGCUGGGUCGUCCUGCUGCUGCAUUUGCUGUUUGCUGAUCUGCCGGCUACCUGGACUUCUGAAUUUCUGGACGACUGAUAUUGGUAUUGUCCCCAACAGAAUCCUACGACCCUACCCAGCGAGGAAGUAGCAGAGAGAACUCCAGCCCCCGGCCCCACUAACCUUCUUUCCCUCCUGCCCGCUGCUGAGGGGUUGGAAGGAAUAUAGAAGUGUUUAAUAACCCUAAAUAAGAAGCUGCUUGUCCAGAGGGCGAGUGUGGGAGCCAAGAAUGCCACGCUGAGCACCAUCGAUCACACACCUGUGACCCUUCAAGUGCCUGGCCUGAUGAGCUCUCAGGUGCAGAGGGGCAGUCACCCAACUGAGGUCCUGUGCCUCAUGAACCUGGUGCCGCCUGAGGAGCUGCUGGGCGAUGAGGCGUAUGAGGAGAUCGUAGAGGAUGUAAAAGAGAAGUGUAGCAAGUAUGGGCUGGUCAAGUCCAUUGAAAUUCCCCGGCCCGUGGAUGGCGUCGAGGUGCCUGGCUGUGGAAAGAUCUUUGUGGAGUUCACCUCUGUGUUUGACUGCCAGAAAGCCAUGCAGGGUCUAACUGGCCGCAAGUUCGCCAACAGAGUGGUGGUCACAAAAUACUGUGACCCUGACUCUUACCACCGUCGGGACUUCUCGUGGAGGUGGUCGGGGAGGGUGGGGGCAGGGUUGGCUGGGGACUUUCCCCCCACCUGCCUCCCCCUACUUUCUCCCCUCUGAAGAUGAUGGGCAGAGGAGUGACAGCUGAAUGACAGCCGGCAGCAACUGGAAUGGCAGCCAUUAAGGGGGGUGGGCGUGGGGGGCUCGGGCAGGAAGGGGCUGGGCAAGUGCACACAGGCCCACGCAGAUACACACAUCCACACAGACACAGAGGGACGGGGCUGGGAUGGGGACUGUGUGCACAUCAGGGCGGGUAGGACUCCCACAGCCCCUUCCCAAACAGCCUCUUCUUAUUCCUUACACCUCUUUCCUCCUCCCUUUCCCCAUGGUAGGAACCUAGUGUGUUUAUAUUUUAUGGACAAACUAUUUUGAAUUUCGUUGUCGGCCCUGUGCCCUGCCCUCUCUGCAGGACCACGGCUCCGGUCCUCCGGCUUCUGGUCCUCCCUGUUCUACACCCUGGUUUCUUAAGUAGUUGGUUCUUCCCCUUAGUCUUUUCCUGACCCUCAGUCCGUGGUCUCCGUCCUGCUCCUCCUCUCUAUGGCAGUUUCAUAUUUGCUAAUACGAAUUUGCUCAUUAAACAUUUUCUUGUAUUUUAUUUAUGGAAAAAAAUCAAGGUCAACAACAAAUAGACUCGUUUUCUGAUGUACAAACUCAUCUCACAUAUACAAUAACAAAAUAUUUUGUCAAGGAAAAAUAAUAUAGAUCACAGUUUUAAAGAGAAGGGCUGUGUAAAGAGCAGGGUUUGUGGCUGAGUGAUACAGGUUAAAAAUAGAAAUGUCAAAAGAUUUUAACAGUCACUUUAGAGGCUAACAGUCUACAAUGAAUAAAACAGCAUUUUUUGGGGGGAGGUUUUACAUGUAUUGGAAUUACAUGUCUUUAGCUGUAAGCUUUUGUUGGAGGUUUUAGAUGUAUUAGAAUUACAUGUCUUUAGCUGUAAGCUUUUGCAUAAUACACAAAGUUCAGGGACACAGUAAUAUACCUUUGUAGUACAUAGGUGUUUAUAGUACAUGGGUAAAUAAUUAACUGCACUAAAAUCACUUCAAAUGCUUUUCUUAGAGAGUUAUCAUUUAAAAGACUUUAACAUAAACUUAAAUGAACUCUGGCAUUGUUGAGAUAGGAUCAUAAGUAGUCAAAACUCUAGCAAAAGCACCUGAAAACAUAACCAGGUAUCUUAAUAAGAUAUAAAGUCUUGAUAAUUUUAAAAUGCACAUAAGCACCAAAGUAGAUAUUAAAAUGCCCAAACUCAUAAUAUCAUUUAUAACAAGAUAUAAUUUCUGUUAGGAAUAAAGUAUCCAGUGACAAUUUUUAUUUUCUGACUAGCAUAAUUAUAUCAUCUCAACAUUAGUUAUAUAUGUAUACAGAUAUAUAUAUGUGUAUAAUUUUAGGUGGAGCAAAGCCCAGAAAUCAUGUAACAAUAUUGCCACACACAGGCUAAUCCUAAAAUUAAUCUUUAUUUUUUAUGUUUUAAGGUAGCCUAAUACAAAACAGUUUAGAAAUUUUCAGUAUUUAACAAAAGUAUAUUUUAAUAAUGUAAUCACUUUAUAAUAUAAGAUAUUAAUUAUCUCUCCUGUAAAUUCUAUAACAAGGGUUUUUUUUCUCCACCUCAGUUUUUACCUAAGGCUAUGGGCACUUCCCUCUUUCUUCCUCUGUUUUCUGUGGGCCCCUUUUCCCAGUGCUAGUUUAUACCUAGGAACUUAAAGAAGAUCAAAAGGGGAUUCGAGUGAUUUCUUUUGGAAUGACCAGUUACAAUUGGUGGUGAGACAUAUGGGCUCCACCCUCCUUGAGCUGAGACCAGGCGAUUCUUUCCCCGCUUGUUUUGCUACUUCGAAUCUGCAUCCCUUAAGCCAUUUCUUCUUCUUCGUGUGUACUUAUGUCCCCUGGUCGACCCAUGCUAACUAACUGGAUGCCUAUUAUCCAAAUGACUGAUUACAUACACUCACUCAGUGUUUUCUGUGUGCUUCCAUGUGACAAGGUCAAUGCGUUUCUAAGAAUGGAUUAAGGAGGUAUACCAGACCUCCAUGGUGGGUUCUUUUUGUUUUGAGGCACUAUCUUACAGGCACUAUACACUGGUUAUAAAGGGGACUUAGGGUUUCCCCAGCCAUGUGCUUUCUACAUUAACCAGAAGCCAAAGGCACUGACAUUCUGAGAAGGUGAGACCUGAGGGGCAGCAGAGGGCCCAAUCAUAGGGAAGCACAGAUUCCUGCCAAGGCCUGGACAGCGAAGUGCAGGGUGUUCAAAAAGCUGUAACCGAAGGGAAGGUGACCACAAUAGGUGUUUCUUUGGGAGCACAUGAAGGAACUGGGAAGGAAAAAGCCUUUCAUGACAUUUUGUCCCAGCUGAGCACAGCAUGAAAUGAAAUCAAUAGAUGUGUGAUCCCUGUGCUGACAGACAUUCAACUUGUUAGAAGGCAUCUAAUCCUUAGAAAACAACUUGUUAAAAAUAAGUUAAUUCUAAGGCUGGAGAGAUGGUUCAGCAGUCAGGAACACUUACUGUUCUUACAGAAGACCCAGGGUAUGCUGCCGAAAGCACCUGACUGCGUGUAACCUCCUGUAACUCCAAUUCCGGGGAAUUUGUCAUCCUCUUCUGCCCUCUACAGGCUCCUUCGUGCAUGUGACGUACACGCAUGUACCCACCACCACACACACAUACACAUAAAAUAAAAAUAAAUAAAUAAACAAUAAAUUUUAAAAACC